AGUGAACGCUGGCGGUAGGCCUAACACAUGCAAGUCGAACGGCAGCACAGGAGAGCUUGCUCUCUGGGUGGCGAGUGGCGGACGGGUGAGGAAUACAUCGGAAUCUACUUUUUCGUGGGGGAUAACGUAGGGAAACUUACGCUAAUACCGCAUACGACCUACGGGUGAAAGCAGGGGAUCUUCGGACCUUGCGCGAUUGAAUGAGCCGAUGUCGGAUUAGCUAGUUGGCGGGGUAAAGGCCCACCAAGGCGACGAUCCGUAGCUGGGCUGAGGGGAUGAUCAGCCACACUGGAACUGAGACACGGUCCAGACUCCUACGGGAGGCAGCAGUGGGGGAUAUUGGACAAUGGGCGCAAGCCUGAUCCAGCCAUACCGCGUGGGUGAAGAAGGCCUUCGGGUUGUAAAGCCCUUUUGUUGGGAAAGAAAUCCAGCUGGUUAAUACCCGGUUGGGAUGACGGUACCCAAAGAAUAAGCACCGGCUAACUUCGUGCCAGCAGCCGCGGUAA
Molecule: ribosomal RNA, 506 nt
Filed under: uncultured bacterium
Lineage: Bacteria
Description: partial 16S ribosomal RNA
Rfam family: Bacterial small subunit ribosomal RNA
Source: RNAcentral